This 507-nucleotide ribosomal RNA is filed under the name uncultured bacterium. Its description in RNAcentral is "bacterial SSU rRNA". It matches the Rfam family "Bacterial small subunit ribosomal RNA", at positions 17 to 518 of the family's 1533-position model. The record is from RNAcentral.
UUCUGGCUCAGGAUGAACGCUGGCGGCGUGCCUAACACAUGCAAGUCGAGCGGAGAUGUCACACCGGAAGAAGAUUCGUCUGAAUCCACCGUGACAUUCUUAGCGGCGGAUGGGUGAGUAACACGUGGACAACCUACCCAGGACAGGGGGAUAACAACCGGAAACGGGUGCUAAUACCGCAUAGAUUGUCGGACCGCAUGAUCUGACAAGGAAAGAUUUAUCGGUUCUGGAUGGGUCCGCGUCGGAUUAACUAGUUGGUGAGGUAACGGCCCACCAAGGUGAUGAUCCGUAGCCGGCCUGAGAGGGCGACCGGCCACAUUGGGACUGAGACACGGCCCAGACUCCUACGGGAGGCAGCAGUGGGGGAUAUUGCACAAUGGGGGAAACCCUGAUGCCAGCGACGCCGCGUGAAGGAGGAAAUACUUCGGUAUGUAAACUUCUAUCAGCAGGGAAGAAGAUGACGGUACCUGACUAAGAAGCCCCGGCUAAAUACGUGCCAGCAGCCGC